Long non-coding RNA from Triticum aestivum (bread wheat), 2117 nucleotides. RefSeq lists it as uncharacterized. NCBI's taxonomy places the organism in Eukaryota, Viridiplantae, Streptophyta, Magnoliopsida, Poales, Poaceae. The record is from RefSeq and is a predicted model, not a curated record. The transcript has 4 exons.
GCCCACCGAAACCUCUUGCAUCUGGUGAUCCCCCACGACCUGCCUUCAUCCCGAGCACCCACCACCUCCACCCUCGCGCGAGCUGUCCGCCGACUCCCUCCCGCGCGCCGCCGGCCGCCACCUCCCUCCCCCGUGCCGCCGGACACCGCCUCCCUCCCCCGUGCCGUGGGACGAUGCCUCGCUCCCCCGCGCCGCCGGACGCCGCCUUCCUCCCCGGUGCCACCGGAUGACGCCUCCCUUCCCCACGUCGCCGGUCGUCGUCUCCUUUUCCUGCCCCGCCGGACACUGCCUCAUUCCCAGAUCCCGCCGCCACCCGCAACACAACCGGCGCCGUGGCUAUCGCCCCACACAUGAUUCAUGAGCUUCUAUCGCUCCACCGCCGUGUACAUGCGGUUCAAAGCUGCAACCACAUGACGUUCAAUCUCUCCGUCGUGGACACCCUCUUCACCUCCUGGUUGCCACUCAUCCCGGUGUUGCCAGGCCGUUUGGUUGGCCACCACUGCGAUCAGCAGUCCAACCCGGCCGCCCCAGGCCGUUGGGUUCGCCACCACUGUGAUCAGCAGUCCAACCAGGCCGCCCCAGGCAGUUCACCGUCACAGCUCCCAGGCCGACUGUGUCGAGCCACCUUCCGCCCGCACCUUGGGCUCCCGUAUGCGCCCCCUACCCCAGCAGGUGCACACGUCCCUGCCCACCGUUUCCCUGUGUUGUUCUUUUGACCUUGAACUAUAUAGGAUACAACUUUUAUUUUAUUUUCAGUUCACCUUUUGCGUUCUUUUCAGUUCAUAAACUUUAAUGUAUUGAUGAAAUCCUGAAAUAUCAUAUGUGCACUCUACGUAUUUGUUCUUAUGCCUACGAACAAUUCUGCACUUGUGCUGUUAUGCAUCAGUUUUGGUCACCAAAAAAAUGGAUGUUUAGAUCUGACAAAAUGGAUUAGAGCACCAUGCCCUCACCCAGAAGUUUGAAAAAAACAAUCAUUGCUUUCAGUUCUAGUAAAAUGUUUUUGUUUAAAACUGGACUGCUGAUUCUUUCUGUAAUGGGCUUUAUAUAUUAUCUUUCCUAUGUCUUACUGUAGGAAAAUAUGGUGGCCUUCAGCAAGUAAUCUUUCUCUAACGUGCAUCCUAUGCCUGCGCCACCGAGAGCCUGAUCCUACUUGCUGCAUGCUCACGGCGACCAAAAUCAUAAUUGCUAGAUGUACUAUCUUGUUGUGCCAAGGCAAUCAAAAACAUAAGUGUUGCUACUCUAAUUCACCCCCGACACCUCGACAGUCGCUAGGCGUGACGCCUCUCCUCCCAAGGACGUGCUCGCCUCGCCGCACCUCCUGCCGGCGAUCUGACCACUUCUCGCGGCAAUGCGCCAUGUGUGGCCCAUGUUCCGGCGUCGCCCUCCGUGGCCUCAGCACGCAGGCCGUUCAACUCCGCCACCUGAGGCCGUUCGCCUCCGCCACCUGAGGCCGUUCACCACCACCAGUCCCUGUCCAAGGCCGCCCCAACGACCCUGUGCGAUAACACCCCUGUCAACCCCGUGGAAUUUUGUUUCUCUCAGCUUCAAAAAGAGGGGACUUCUUGUCGAGAGCACACCAAAUGGAUCUCUGCUUCUGGCCGCGGUGGGAACUCCAGGAUACACACUAUUCAUCGCAUUUGUCAUUGAGCGAUUGCACCACUAUCUUCAGAAGCUCAUCACCCUGAGGAAAUCAGCCAACACCUCCCAGAGGGGAGGUUGAAAAAUUCCAAAUGGAGUUCAAACAUGAAUUUGAGAAAAUUAUUCCUCGGCUAAGUUCGAAAAAUGUCAUUCUGUGAAGUUCGGCUUUUCAGCCAUGGACUAGUCAAUGGUGGAGUUGCAAUUUUGUUUCUUCAGUACAUACAUGAAUCGAAUGUAAUCAACGGAAAGAAACAUAUGUUGAUUCUCCAAGUUAGAGUUCAUUUUUAUUUUCUUACAAGUAGCAAAACUUCCUCUGUAGAUCAGUACAACUUCUGUGCGAUCUUGUGUUCACAAAUCUUGUAGUACUGUUUUUAGAGGGAUCUUUCUAGUACUUUGUAAAGCAAGCGUGAUCCAUUUGUAAAAAUAUGGCAAAAGACAUCCUUCACUCUUGCAGUCUUUUGCUAAAGAAAUGUUUUAAG